Molecule: long non-coding RNA, 462 nt
Organism: Juglans microcarpa x Juglans regia
Lineage: Eukaryota; Viridiplantae; Streptophyta; Magnoliopsida; Fagales; Juglandaceae
Exons: 2
Source: RefSeq, a predicted model, not a curated record
UUGUUGUUCAACACAUUGGAUGGCAACUUCAGCAAUCCUCCAAACGGACUCGAUCUUGACAUUCCCUACCAGGAAAGGGUCUAUGACACUAAUAAUAUCCCCCUUACGAAUCAAAGACCUUGCCUGCAAAACAACAGGGAGUGGACCUGUGAGGGAAUUACCAUCCAACCACCUAAGAAAAAGAAAGCGAUCAGAGCAGAAGAAAUCAAUUGUUCAAGUAGAGCAAGUUCAUUGAAAAGCAGAUUUGCACUUACAACUCUGUCAAGGCCUCCAUGUUGUUGAGCUCUAAUGGGAUUUCACCCUGCACAUUCUUUCUUGAUAGGCCACUGUACAACAUGUGAGAGAUUCCCUCCAUAAUUCAGCUCUUUAAAUAAGUCACAAUGUUUAUUCUUUAUAUGUAACUUAGCUUUGCUACAUAUAACCUUAACUCUUAUUUUCAUCUAUGAAAAUGGUUUACAUGGA